GUCAAUCAAACCAGCAGUUAGCGCCGAAAGCAUCUCCUCCUCCGCCGAUCCCCUCCGCCUCCUCCGUUGGCUAGUAGAAAAAGAGUUUGGCCAAUGCUUUAAACUUUUUGUCCUCCUCAUCUUCAAACAGAAGCCUUAGAGCCUUCCCCUAAUAAAUAGAAAAACAUUUUUUUUGUAAAAAAAAUAACAAACAUUAAUCAACCGAAUCUCAAAUAAUCAAGUAAGGAAAGUGCCUCAUCG
RNAcentral lists this long non-coding RNA (240 nucleotides) under Brassica rapa (field mustard). RNAcentral's name for it is "long non-coding RNA (BRAP_LNC003664)". The record is from RNAcentral. Lineage: Eukaryota; Viridiplantae; Streptophyta; Magnoliopsida; Brassicales; Brassicaceae.